GGUUAAGCGACUAAGCGUACACGGUGGAUGCCCUGGCAGUCAGAGGCGAUGAAGGACGUGCUAAUCUGCGAUAAGCGUCGGUAAGGUGAUAUGAACCGUUAUAACCGGCGAUUUCCGAAUGGGGAAACCCAGUGUGAUUCGUCACACUAUCAUUAACUGAAUCCAUAGGUUAAUGAGGCGAACCGGGGGAACUGAAACAUCUAAGUACCCCGAGGAAAAGAAAUCAACCGAGAUUCCCCCAGUAGCGGCGAGCGAACGGGGAGCAGCCCAGAGCCUGAAUCAGUGUGUGUGUUAGUGGAAGCGUCUGGAAAGGCGUGCGAUACAGGGUGACAGCCCCGUACACAAAAAUGCACAUACUGUGAGCUCGAUGAGUAGGGCGGGACACGUGGUAUCCUGUCUGAAUAUGGGGGGACCAUCCUCCAAGGCUAAAUACUCCUGACUGACCGAUAGUGAACCAGUACCGUGAGGGAAAGGCGAAAAGAACCCCGGCGAGGGGAGUGAAAAAGAACCUGAAACCGUGUACGUACAAGCAGUGGGAGCACGCUUAGGCGUGUGACUGCGUACCUUUUGUAUAAUGGGUCAGCGACUUAUAUUCUGUAGCAAGGUUAACCGAAUAGGGGAGCCGAAGGGAAACCGAGUCUUAACUGGGCGUUAAGUUGCAGGGUAUAGACCCGAAACCCGGUGAUCUAGCCAUGGGCAGGUUGAAGGUUGGGUAACACUAACUGGAGGACCGAACCGACUAAUGUUGAAAAAUUAGCGGAUGACUUGUGGCUGGGGGUGAAAGGCCAAUCAAACCGGGAGAUAGCUGGUUCUCCCCGAAAGCUAUUUAGGUAGCGCCUCGUGAAUUCAUCUCCGGGGGUAGAGCACUGUUUCGGCAAGGGGGUCAUCCCGACUUACCAACCCGAUGCAAACUGCGAAUACCGGAGAAUGUUAUCACGGGAGACACACGGCGGGUGCUAACGUCCGUCGUGAAGAGGGAAACAACCCAGACCGCCAGCUAAGGUCCCAAAGUCAUGGUUAAGUGGGAAACGAUGUGGGAAGGCCCAGACAGCCAGGAUGUUGGCUUAGAAGCAGCCAUCAUUUAAAGAAAGCGUAAUAGCUCACUGGUCGAGUCGGCCUGCGCGGAAGAUGUAACGGGGCUAAACCAUGCACCGAAGCUGCGGCAGCGACGCUUAUGCGUUGUUGGGUAGGGGAGCGUUCUGUAAGCCUGUGAAGGUGUGCUGUGAGGUAUGCUGGAGGUAUCAGAAGUGCGAAUGCUGACAUAAGUAACGAUAAAGCGGGUGAAAAGCCCGCUCGCCGGAAGACCAAGGGUUCCUGUCCAACGUUAAUCGGGGCAGGGUGAGUCGACCCCUAAGGCGAGGCCGAAAGGCGUAGUCGAUGGGAAACAGGUUAAUAUUCCUGUACUUGGUGUUACUGCGAAGGGGGACGGAGAAGGCUAUGUUGGCCGGGCGACGGUUGUCCCGGUUUAAGCGUGUAGGCUGGUUUUCCAGGCAAAUCCGGAAAAUCAAGGCCGAGGCGUGAUGACGAGGCACUACGGUGCUGAAGCAACAAAUGCCCUGCUUCCAGGAAAAGCCUCUAAGCAUCAGGUAACAUCAAAUCGUACCCCAAACCGACACAGGUGGUCAGGUAGAGAAUACCAAGGCGCUUGAGAGAACUCGGGUGAAGGAACUAGGCAAAAUGGUGCCGUAACUUCGGGAGAAGGCACGCUGAUACGUAGGUGAAGCGACUUGCUCGUGGAGCUGAAAUCAGUCGAAGAUACCAGCUGGCUGCAACUGUUUAUUAAAAACACAGCACUGUGCAAACACGAAAGUGGACGUAUACGGUGUGACGCCUGCCCGGUGCCGGAAGGUUAAUUGAUGGGGUUAGCGCAAGCGAAGCUCUUGAUCGAAGCCCCGGUAAACGGCGGCCGUAACUAUAACGGUCCUAAGGUAGCGAAAUUCCUUGUCGGGUAAGUUCCGACCUGCACGAAUGGCGUAAUGAUGGCCAGGCUGUCUCCACCCGAGACUCAGUGAAAUUGAACUCGCUGUGAAGAUGCAGUGUACCCGCGGCAAGACGGAAAGACCCCGUGAACCUUUACUAUAGCUUGACACUGAACAUUGAGCCUUGAUGUGUAGGAUAGGUGGGAGGCUUUGAAGUGUGGACGCCAGUCUGCAUGGAGCCGACCUUGAAAUACCACCCUUUAAUGUUUGAUGUUCUAACGUGGACCCGUGAUCCGGGUUGCGGACAGUGUCUGGUGGGUAGUUUGACUGGGGCGGUCUCCUCCUAAAGAGUAACGGAGGAGCACGAAGGUUGGCUAAUCCUGGUCGGACAUCAGGAGGUUAGUGCAAUGGCAUAAGCCAGCUUGACUGCGAGCGUGACGGCGCGAGCAGGUGCGAAAGCAGGUCAUAGUGAUCCGGUGGUUCUGAAUGGAAGGGCCAUCGCUCAACGGAUAAAAGGUACUCCGGGGAUAACAGGCUGAUACCGCCCAAGAGUUCAUAUCGACGGCGGUGUUUGGCACCUCGAUGUCGGCUCAUCACAUCCUGGGGCUGAAGUAGGUCCCAAGGGUAUGGCUGUUCGCCAUUUAAAGUGGUACGCGAGCUGGGUUUAGAACGUCGUGAGACAGUUCGGUCCCUAUCUGCCGUGGGCGCUGGAGAACUGAGGGGGCUGCUCCUAGUACGAGAGGACCGGAGUGGACGCAUCACUGGUGUUCGGGUUGUCAUGCCAAUGGCACUGCCCGGUAGCUAAAUGCGGAAGAGAUAAGUGCUGAAAGCAUCUAAGCACGAAACUUGCCCCGAGAUGAGUUCUCCCUGACCCUUUAAGGGUCCUGAAGGAACGUUGAAGACGACGACGUUGAUAGGCCGGGUGUGUAAGCGCAGCGAUGCGUUGAGCUAACCGGUACUAAUGAACCGUGAGGCUUAACCUU
Molecule: ribosomal RNA, 2902 nt
Filed under: Shigella flexneri
Lineage: Bacteria; Pseudomonadati; Pseudomonadota; Gammaproteobacteria; Enterobacterales; Enterobacteriaceae
Description: 23S ribosomal RNA
Rfam family: Bacterial large subunit ribosomal RNA
Source: RNAcentral